UGCAGGAAGACUGCCCUCUGGGUUGUAAACUGCUUUUAUCAGGGAAUAAACCCUUCUACGUGUAGGAGGCUGAAUGUACCUGAAGAAUAAGGAUCGGCUAACUCCGUGCCAGCAGCCGCGGUAAUACGGAGGAUCCGAGCGUUAUCCGGAUUUAUUGGGUUUAAAGGGUGCGUAGGCGGCUUUUUAAGUCAGGGGUGAAAGACGGUGGCUCAACCAUCGCAGUGCCUUUGAUACUGAAGAGCUUGAAUGUACUUGAGGUAGGCGGAAUGUGACAAGUAGCGGUGAAAUGCAUAGAUAUGUCACAGAACACCGAUUGCGAAGGCAGCUUACUAAAGUAUGAUUGGCGCUGAGGCACGAAAGCGUGGGUAUCAAACAGGAUUAGAUACCCUGGUAGUCCACGCCCUAAACGA
This 410-nucleotide ribosomal RNA is filed under the name uncultured bacterium. Its description in RNAcentral is "bacterial SSU rRNA". It matches the Rfam family "Bacterial small subunit ribosomal RNA", at positions 402 to 809 of the family's 1533-position model. The record is from RNAcentral.